CCAAUAGCGUAUAUUAAAGUUGUUGCAGUUAAAAAGCUCGUAGUUGAAUUUCGGGGUCAGUAGGUUGGUCAUGCCACUGGUAUGUACUGGUCUCACUGAUUCCUCCUUCCUGAUGAGCCGUAAUGCCAUUAAUUGGGUGUUGCGAGGAAUCUGGACUGUUACUUUGAAAAAAUUAGAGUGUUUAAAGCAGGCUAACGCUUGAAUACAUUAGCAUGGAAUAAUGAAAUAGGACGUUCGAUCUUAUUUUGUUGGUUUCUAAGAUUGACGUAAUGAUUAAUAGGGAUAGUUGGGGGCAUUAGUAUUCAAUUGUCAGAGGUGAAAUUCUUGGAUUUAUUGAAGACUAACUACUGCGAAAGCAUUUGCCAAGGAUGUUUUCAUUAAUCAAGAACGAAAGUUAGGGGAUCGAAGACGAUCAGAUACCGUCGUAGUCUUAACCAUAAACUAUGCCGACUAGGGAUCGGAUGAUGUUAAUUUUUUAAUGACUCAUUCGGCGCCUUACG
This 500-nucleotide ribosomal RNA is filed under the name uncultured Glomeromycotina. RNAcentral's name for it is "partial small subunit ribosomal RNA". It matches the Rfam family "Eukaryotic small subunit ribosomal RNA", at positions 591 to 1092 of the family's 1831-position model. Lineage: Eukaryota; Fungi; Glomeromycota. The record is from RNAcentral.